RNAcentral lists this unclassified non-coding RNA (553 nucleotides) under Hevea brasiliensis (rubber tree). Lineage: Eukaryota; Viridiplantae; Streptophyta; Magnoliopsida; Malpighiales; Euphorbiaceae. The record is from RNAcentral.
UAAUCCUAUAAGCUGUAAAAGUUUCUUUUGUCGGCUUCCCUCUCCCUUGGGUAAGGCCACAGGGAGGGGACUACAUAAGAGCCAAAUUUUGUUUCAAUUGAAGCCUGUGCAGUAUAAAGCACGACUGACCUUUCAUAGGCUGUGUCUGCAAUUUGGGCACAGCUAAGUCUAUCUUCCUCUGCAUCAUCAUCUUUGCAUUGCUCUGGAGUGGGAGAUCAAUAUCAACACAUUGAGAAGGCGUUGCUGAAUUGAUGAAGAAUCAUGUUGAAAUUCUUCAAGAUGAGGUAAUGUCCCUUGCAUCAUUAUCUUAUUUUUCUCCUAGCGUAGAAAUUUUUAUGUAAAAUUGACCUUGUUUGAGAGGAAAGUUUUUCCAAGAGAUGAGUUUCCUAAACCUUCAGUGCCGGCAUUCACGGCGCAGAUAACAUGUAAGACCAUGCCAUGACUCUAUCCAUGUUUGUUAAACAAUAUUUUCAAGCAGCAGAACAUAAACAUAGAGAAGAAUUAUAUUCAUGAACAUCUAAACAUUAGUUGUUAGUCAAAAACAUACUGCCGA